RNAcentral lists this ribosomal RNA (279 nucleotides) under uncultured bacterium. RNAcentral describes it as "partial 16S ribosomal RNA". It matches the Rfam family "Bacterial small subunit ribosomal RNA", at positions 506 to 784 of the family's 1533-position model. The record is from RNAcentral.
UGCCAGCCGCCGCGGUAAGACGGAGGGGGCUAGCGUUGUUCGGAAUUACUGGGCGUAAAGGGCGCGUAGGCGGAUUAGUAAGUUGGGAGUGAAAGCCCGGGGCUUAACCUCGGAACUGCUUUCAAAACUGCUAGUCUUGAGUGAAGUAGGGGAUGAUGGAAUUCCUAGUGUAGAGGUGAAAUUCUUAGAUAUUAGGAGGAACACCGAUGGCGAAGGCAUCUCUCUGGGCCGAUAUUGACGCUGAAGCGCGAAGGCGUGGGUAGCGAACGGGAUUAGAUA